AGCUAGAAAUUUACGGAAGGCAGAGCAGCUUGCCACCUUGCAUGAGGCCAUGCUGACUCUCCUUGCAUAUAUGCUCGUAUGAAAUAAAGGAGCCUCAGGCUGUCUGAUCCAAAAUCAACCGUGUGGUCAAUUUUUCCACAACAAUUUAGGGGCUCGUCCGGGAUCCACAGAUGACUUCCCCAUACCGGAGGACCGCAGGCAAUCUCCCACCAGACCCAGGGCCCAUUUGAAAGGAAGAGCCACUGGGUGUGGCUAAAUAGGCCUCUGUACUGUUCUGUGUGCCAGUGUGGAAGUGAAGGUCAGUAGAUCAGUGUGAGUGAGGGUCACAAGAAGAUUCCCUGUGUCCGCCCCUUUGUGGGUCAGUAAUGGGCCCUGACCAGGAUAAGGCUUCCUCUGCAUGGCAUGCCCGGCGAGGGACCUGUCUGGGUCUAAUUUUUUGUGACCCUAUCCUUUUCCCCCAUCCUCGGAUGGUCCCUGAGCUCUGUUUGAUCCUCUGGACUGGAGUGAGGCACAUUAUCCGCUCCAGAACCAAGAUCGAGGGAGAUUCCCGUUUCCGUAACCUCCUUCCCUUUCCCUCCCAUCCCCGCCUGAGGGCGGCUGAAUGAGCCACUGACGGGUCCAAAUGUCCUACUGGAAACAACAGAGUAAGAGGCACCAUUCUCUCUGAGACUAGCUGAUGCUCUUUGCUGGAAAGGGCUGUAGACAGUCGUGAAUGCCCUAAACAAGCCUUCCCUGUGUGAAAGACCUGAGUGAAAGUGAUCCGAUCUGUUAACUGGGAAAAUGGAGGCCGGUGAGUCAAAAGGGAUCACCAUCCCACCAAAAGGGCACACCUGAGUAUUGUAUGUAUGCAAAUUGCAGUCCUUUCAGAGAAUGGGAUCCCCACAAAGCCAGUUCAAUGCAUAUUUUAAUUGGUAUGAAGAAACAGGAGAAAAUGGUACCACACAAUUAAAAGAGAUAAAAAGAGAAUUGGCAAAAAAUUUAAAUUCAACCCAGCUGGCAAGAAAUAUUAAGCAACAAAAGCCCCUUACGUUCACCCUCAGACGGUGUCUCCCCGUGCUGAGGAAAUAUUCCCCUUGCACCAAUUCCUUGGCAUUGACGCUUCGGGUCAGGAGACCUUGGUGGCUGUGCAUGCACCUUGGUCUCCCACGGAAUUGUGUAAUUUAAUAAAAAAAUUUCUGAAAAUAAAAGAAGACCCUGUUAAAUUCCAAGAAGAAUUAAAAACUGUCAUGUACUGUUAUAACCCCACCUGGGCAGACAUAAACCAACUCUUGAAGGGAGUCCUGCCCAGGAAAACAUUAAAUCUGCCUUUAUCAGGCAGCCCGAUGGCCGAUGGAGGACCCAGACCAUGAUCAGGACAAAAUAAAUAGGAUUAGAAACAGGCUGUGGGAAGCAAUUCUCCCAGUUUGCCCAAAGAAAGCAGAUUGAGCCAAAAUUAGCACCUGUAAAUCAAGUAAAGAAAAGAAUCUAAAUGAAAUUUUAGCAGCUACCCAACACCAUCACCGCCACAUUGAAACUAAGUUAAUGACCCUCCAGUUCCAGGACAUGCAGGGACCCUGCAAUAGCCACCCAUUGUGGGGGAGAGGGAAAAGGCCAAACCAAGGUCCCCACUGCUUACCUCCCCAGGACCCAGUGAUGGCGCGUGUCACUAUUGCAAACAGAUGGACCAUUGGAAAAGGGAAUGUCUCACUGCCCUGGCCGCUCCACAAGCGGUAGGGGUGGGCAACGUUCUUGUGCCCCACCCCAUCUCUUCACCUCUGACCGUUUAUGUCGGUCCUCUGUCUAACUAUUAUGCUUUCCUCCUCAGUUCUUGUUUACUAGAUGACCUUUUGGGAAAAGUUUUGCUGUGUAAAUUAAAUUGUACAAUCUGCUGUACCCCAAAUGGUGUGCAUCUGGACGUGCCUGAUCCCGCUCACAAUAAGGUCCUGGCAGUUUUGCAGAAGGACACUCUAAAAGAGAAGAUUGACCCCAGCCCUUCCUCGUUGCAACAGGAACUGCUGGUUAAGGUCUCUCCCUCCCUGUGGGCCUUGUGAGCCGAUCAUGCUAACCAAGUUGAGUGCAUUGGGUCUGCCCAACCUGUUAAGAUUCACUUAAGCCCAGCAAGACCACUUCCCAAAGUGCAGUGAAAUCCUCUCUCAAACUAGACUGAGGAAGGAAUUUAAUCUGUAAUGCCUCCUUAAUUCAACAAGAAGUCAUUAUUCCUAUGGUCAGUAAGUGUGACUUCCCUAUUUUACUGUGCUGUUCGUGCUGUUGUUCUCCCUAUCUUUCCCGUUGUCUGUAGCCCUGCUGCUAUCCUGUCUUACAAUGCACCGAUGCUGAGGGGUUGUUACCGCCUCAAGGGAAGAUUGUAUUAAGUCCGGACAUAGAGAAAAGGUCUUUUUAUAUACAGUAGCUUUGCCACUCGCUGAAACCAGAAGACUGGGUCUACAUGGAGAUCCAAUAGCAAGGAAUUGCCCUGGCCCCGUGCUGAAAGACCCUCAUCAAGUCCUGUUAAUUACCAACACCGCUGUGAAGUGCCAAGAAUUGACUACCUUCCCAUGUUUCUGACUGUAAUGGCGCUCCGACUAAUGAUCGGUCUAUCUUUCCUUCUGGUGUUGUUGCUCCUUUUGGACAGCAGGAGUGAAGGACAAGGUAAAAGAGCUGGUAACCUCUCCUUUGUCUGCUGACAGACCCACUGUGCUUUGAAUCUUGCUAAGAAAACAACCUCUCCACCUGAGGACAUAAUAAAGCCUCCAAGCAAGCAAGGUGAUUGUGCUAGUAACCUCUCCCUUGCUGCCUCACUCCCGGACAGCUAAGUGAAUUAAGACAACGAAAUCUCGAAGAAUAGCUUGCGGAAGCUAGCCAAAACUACCUGAAAAUGAAACUUUUAAUGUUCCUCAGCCUCUCCUCCUUAAUGAACUUAGGGUGGGGAUGAGAAAGUAAAAUUUUUCUAGAUCUUAGCCAAUCAGUAGCCUCACUAGUAAAUAAUCAAACGUAUACCCAAAGAGUCUGUUCUGCCACUGAAGAUUUUACCAGUACUGAAAAUUAUUCCCGUAACUAAUGAUUUAUCCUGUACCAUAUUGCAAUAUACCCCUACUUAUACCAUUCAUAUUAAUGCCCCUCUGCCCUUUGUAAAGGUGUUUAACCAACAGAUGUGGUAUAAUAUUUCACAGAGGAGAGAUGUGUUAGGACAUCGGUGGACUGUAAUUAAUGCCACACUAGGGACCAACAGGUUCAUGCUGCCCUUGUCCAGUUUUCGGGUCACCGCUAUUUACCAUAAUUGUUCAAAGAGGGCUGCCCUCAAAUUAACUCAACAAAAAGGCUUGUGCUUCUCCUAAAAAAAAGAAAGAAACUUGGCUGAACACUUGUGGGACGGGGCUAAUGGCGCCAGCUGCAAUCUGGAAUAUCCACAUAAGCCAACAGCAUGAGAAAAAAAAUUAGGCCAAUUGAAAAAGGCCUCUGGUCUUACUUCUGGAGCACAGUUAACUCAGGUGCAGGCUGGAGUGGGUGAAUUGCACGUGAUUUCAGCCCUUAGUUCUAUAACCCAGAAGUUGCUGACAGAGAUGGUAUUAAAUAUCACUGAUGCUGGGAAGGCAUUGCAGUGGGACUUGGCAUGUUACCAGGCCUGGCCCACUGCCCUUACAGACACUUCAGGAAUACCAUCUAAUCUGUGGCCAUGGAGGCAUACUUGGAAAUUUUCUGGGUGGAGGUGUGGACAGUUACAGUGCUCCUUCCAAGCCUAUGGACCGGUCAAAGGGAUGUGGGCUCCCGUGUACCGAAUCCUACGUGGUCCAUGGGGAAACUGUACGUGGAAUUGGGUGAUUCACUGAGACAUUUGGGAAUCAAGCCACCUGAUAUGCCUAGCCAAUUCAUAGUCAGUGCUCCUAAAAUAACAACCAAUAUUUGGAUUGGGAUAGGAAACCAAUGGACACUCUCGCCAUUAGAACCCCCACAGCUUCAGUGUGUACGUAAACUGAAGCCAGGAGAAGUUGUCACAGUUAAUGACGGCGUUUGUUGGAAAAGUAUAGGACAAGAAACUACCCUGACAUGACACUACUAUUCAGAGCUAAUGACAGUUGUGUGCUCGUACAGGCCACAAUAUUACAAGACAUGCAUUUUAAUCUCACCACUGCUGCAGGCAGUCAUAUCUUGUAUUGGCCUACCAAAAAAAAAGUUGCAAUCAGUCCUUCAGCCUCAGAUACCCUAUAAUUGGAUUACCCUAAUGCCUGACUGGUUCCAGAAUUUGCUAGCAGUCUUACCAGAAGUACAGAAAAUUUCUGAACUUCAAUGGCAAAUUCACAUACGCCAGAAUAUAUAUCAAAUUGAAAAGAAUGCUUUUCACACAGCCUAUAGGGUGUCUACUUUAUGUACUAAAUAUGAUGCUUUGUGUUUUGUGACUAAAACCAUUUAGUAAUCUCAACCUCAUCACUUUAUUGCCAUAGGAAUGUUAUUGCUUUUAUUAUUAUUUGGUAUGGGUAAUAGAUGCAUUUAUCAUUGCCUGCCCAGUCCUAGACCUGCUAGGUUCAAUGCACAAGAGCGAGUGGAGCUAAGGAUUGUUAAUGAACUUUAUGACAACAGUUGGAAAGAAAGGAAGCCAGAAGCAGUGAUGAAUGUGUAUGAGGAUAUGCAGGAAAGAGGGAGGAAGAAAAGGAAAAGGUUAAUGAAUUGAUGAAUAUAGAAAUGUAGGCUAAGGUGAAGCAUCAAAGGGGGAAUUGUGAGGGAAAAUACGGUGGGCUUACAACUUUGGCCAGGCUUUUAGGCCUAAACUUUGGAUAAGCUUGUUUUUAGGCUGUGUUGAACUUUGGUUCAGCUUGUCUCUGUGUAAAAGGGGCAGAGAGGAGGGGGAGAGAGUGAUGAAAGAGUGAUGGAAAGUUGCUUCUGUGUGUCAAGGGGUAAAAGGAGUCACAGUGGAAAGUUCCCAAAAUGGAACAAUGGCUUUGUGUGUAUAAAGGGCAUGAGGGGGCAGAGUGAUAAAAUCCCCAAGUAGCAUAAUUUUCAAUAGCCAGGCUUAUGAAAUAUAUAACCACAACAGUUGUGUUAGAAAGGUCGCUGACCACAAAAAAAAAACAGACAGUAAGUAACAGGGGGGCCUAGUGGGCGAGACGCUUGUUUUUGCUUUUGUCCUAUAUUAAUUUUUCAAUAUAUUCCAAAUAAGGUAAUUAAUACGGAAGUAUGUGUAAUUUGUCUGUGGUUUUAACCUUUAAGGCAGAGCAGCUUGCCACCUUGCAUGAGGCCAUGCUGACUCUCCUUGCAUAUAUGCUCGUAUGAAAUAAAGGAGCCUCAGGCUGUCUGAUCCAAAAUCAACCAUGUGGUCAAUUUUCCACAACCGUAUACUGGUAAAGUAGAUGAGUCAAAACAUAUAGUCAGAGUAGAUUCCUAGUAAGAAAUAAUAAUUUCUUUCAGAUAAUUUGCAAACACAAUUAUUUUCAGACAAUUUUAAUGGUUAUAGUGUUUACUGAGUAAAUCUAACAUGCAUUGCUGCACACCUCGAGCAAUUUCUCCAACAAUUUGGCGCUGAGACUUUCUGGAAAACCACACAGACAGUUAAGCCAUGCAGUGGUGCACACUCAGAACAGCCAGCCACAAGGCAUGAAAAGAAAAAAUUGCCUACACUAAUGUUUCUCAACAAGCAGUCUAUGGCAGUCUCCUUGCCAGUCCCUGAGAUUUCCCUGAGACAGUAUAUUAAAAAUGUAUCUGUAAAGUGGGGUUUUUUUAACUUGCAUUUUACAUCACUGUAUUAAUUAACUUAUUUCAGAAAUUUUGAAGUGUUCUGUAUUUUUCAAAGAUGUGAAAUAGAUACCU
Long non-coding RNA from Mauremys reevesii (Reeves's turtle), 5778 nucleotides. RefSeq lists it as uncharacterized. Lineage: Eukaryota; Metazoa; Chordata; Testudines; Geoemydidae. The transcript has 3 exons. The record is from RefSeq and is a predicted model, not a curated record.